GAGGGAGAGCUGGACUGGGACGUCUCAGCGCUCAAUAUCACAGUCAAUCCUAUGGAGAGCUUCCAGGAGCCCCAGGAAGCUGAGGAAGAGGCCAGUGAGGAGGAGGAGGAAGAUGAAGAGGAUGACAUCACCAGCACAGAGUCAGACGACAGCGAGGAGGAGGAGGUCCCAGGAGCUCACAGGGUACAACAGAGCAGCAAGAGGGGCCAGCUGGACUGCUACAACUCUACAUGAACCUACUGAAUACAAUUAUACAUGCACACUGAUGCACACACAUACACACUGAUGUAUAUACACACACGCUGAGGCAUCAACAUACUCACUACUAUAAAAUAAAUUGUUCAAAUCAUGAGACUACCUGAGAUUUCUCUGAGUUGAGGUAACAUCUCCCCCUACUGGUGAAAAAGGAAAUGGUAUUAAGAAUAGAAUGAGCACUGUGUGAUAACACACAUAAACACAUACACAUACACGUCACACACACAUACACGUCACACACACACAAACGUCACACACACACACACACACACACACACAUACACGUCACACACACACACAUACACGUCACACACACACACAUACACAUACACGUCACACACACACACACAUAAACACAUACACAUCACACACACACACACAUACACACACACACACAUACACGUCACACACACACACACAUACACGUCACACACACACACAUACACGUCACACACACACACACACAUACACGUCACACACACACACACAUACACGUCACACACACACACAUACGUCACACACACACACAUACGUCACACACACACACACACACGCACGCACACACACACACACACACACACACACACACACACACACACACACACACACACACAACACCAGCCUGUAUUUAAAAAGACUCCUUUCCUUUAUGUCAAACUAUGUAGUGUUAACUAAAGGCUACCCUGUGGUACUCCAAUGCUGUAAUACUAUCCUGUGGUCUUGAGUACCCCAGACCUCAAGCCCUAGUCCACAAGCUGAAACCUUACCUACUGUUUUUUACUGAGACUGUGAAAAAAAGACAACAAAAUGUGAAAAACUGUAUACGACUGAAAUUGCUUGUCAAACAUCUGUUUUCCACCUAUUUUUUCAGGGUCUAAAAUCUUGUCUGAGAAACUGUGGUCCUAUAGGUCGCUGUGAUCUUUUGUAAUGGUAACAACCAACUAAUGAAACAAAUACCAAAUGAUAGUCUUUGGGUGGAGUUUUCCUUUAAGAUGGUACAGUCCAGUAUAGGGGAACACCUUUGAUUCUUACCUUGAUACACUAUAUUGCAAAAGUAUGUGGACACCCCAUCAAAUUAGUGGAUUCGGCUAUUUCAGUCACACCCGUUACUGAUGGGUGUAUAAAAUCGAGCUCACAGCCAUGCAAUCUCCAUAGACACACAAUGUCAGUAGAAUGGCCCUACUUAAGAGCUCAGUGACUUUCAACAUGGCACUGUCAUUGGAUGUUACCUUUCCAACAAGUUAGUUCAUCAAAUUUCUGCCCUGCUAGAGCUGCCCCUGUCAACUGUAAGUGCUGUUAUUGGGAAGUGGAAACAUCUAGGAGCAACAACGGCUCAGCCGUGAGGGGAAGGCCACAGAAGCUCACAGAACGGGACCGCCGAGUACUGAAGCGCGUAGUGAGCUAAAAGAUUAUGUCCUCGGUUGCAACACUCACUACCGAAUUCAAAACUGCCUCUGGAAGCAACGUCAGCACAAGAACUGUUUGUCAGGAGCUUCAUGAAAUUGGUUUCCAUGGCAGAGCAGCCACACACAAGCCUAAGAUCACCAUGUGCAAUGUCAAGCAUCAGCUGGAGUGGUGUAAAGUUCACCGCCACUGGACUCUGGAGCACUGGAAACGCGUUCUCUGGAGUGAUGAAUCACUCUUCUCCAUCUGGCAGUCCGACAGACGAAUCUGGGUUCCAGGAGAACGUUACCUGCACAAAUGCGUAGUGCCAACUGUAAAGUUUGGUGGAGGAGGAAUAAUGGUCUGGGGCUGUUUUUCAUGGUUCGGGCUAGACCUUAGUUCCAGUGAAGGGAAAUCUUAAUGCUAAGGCAUACAAUGACAUUCUAGAUUAUGCUAUGCUUCCAACUUUGUGGCAACAGUUUGGGGAAGGCCCUUUCCUGUUUCAGCAUGACAAUGCCCCCGUGCACAAAGCAAGGUUUUCUCACGCAAUUGCACACCCUAUAGAAAUGUUGCGCAACAUUAGCUCAUGGGAACUCAUGAAGUGUUUGAUUAGAUUUUCGAUUACAUUUUCAUUGAUGUCAGAGUGAUUAGAGGGACAAUACAGUGCUGAGUACCAGGCAGUUAGCAAGUUUGGUAGACUACUAAUUACCAUCAGCAGCAUAAGAGCUCGGCAUUCCAAUUCAUUCCAAUGGUGUUCGAUGGUGUUGAGGUCAGGGCUCUGUGCAGGCCAGUCAAGUUCUUCCACACCGCAACAGCCCUACAUACCGAAAUGGUUUGUCGAGAUCGGUGUGGAAGAACUUGACUGGCCUGCACAAGCCCUGAUCUCAACACCAUCUAACACCAUUGGAAUGAAUUGGAACACCGACUGCAAGCCAACAUCAGUGCCCGACAUCACUAAUGCUCUUGUGGCUGAAUGGAAGCAAGUCCCCGCAGCAAUGUUCCAACAUCUAGUGGAAAGUCUUCCCAGAAGAAUGGAGGCUGUUAUAGCAGCAAAGGGGGGACCAACUCCAUAUUAAUGCCCAUGAUUUUGGAAUGAGAUGUUUGACGAGCAGGUGUCCACACACUUUUGGUCAUGUAGUGUAUCUGUGUUCAGUAUAUCAUACCUUUUGUCCAUUGCAUCAAAUUAAAAUUUAAGACGAAAUAAGAAAAAAUAUUAUUGCAUUGAUUUGCAAUAUUUUAAUACCUGAAAAAUAUGUUGGGUUUAUUGCAAUGGAAUAUAUUUUAUUUAUCACUGCGUAUUUAAGCCUGGAUGAGGUGUCUAGGUGAUUUUACAUUUGGCGUAACCAAUGGCACUAAACAAUCUUUAUUUGUUUUUUGAUUGGUGUCCUGUUGGAGAUGUUGUAGUUACUUGAGGCAUAAUCAUGCAGUUGCAACAUUACAGAAUGUUCAGAUAGAAAUAUGUUGCAUAGAACAGACACGUUUCUCUGUCAUGCAAAACAAUUACCAUGUCAGCUCCAUGCAUGUAAUUUCUAUCUUCAAUAUUCUGUAGCCAACUGAAUAAGCACCCAGGUGAAAGUUGAUCUUGCCUGUUCUGGUUUUUGGACACACUAUAAGAGAGAAGGAACCUUGUACAUUUGGAUAUGUUCCUCUUACCUGUACAUACUGACUAGAGUAGGUGACCCUGCCCUGAACCUAGCGAAGCUCCUCCCUCUGUUCAUCUGUAUGUAUGCACCCCCCUCCCCCCAUCUCUAUGUACUAACCCGCCCAUGUCACUGAAAUCUGUUCAUAUCACACCAAACCCACCCCUCUCUCUAUGUUUGUAUCUCAACGUUCAGUUCAUUCCAAAUGGCUGUGCUUUCUGUCUCUGUUAAGACAGGCAAGACAAACAGACACCGCUGUUCCUACAUUUUAGGAUGGGAGACAACAGUGGGAAAUGAUCAUGGAAGUUAAACCAAUUUAAACCCAACUUAAACUGGUUAAUGGGCAGGGCAUGUAUAGAGUGUUGUCUUCUGUCUUUCUGUAGUCAAUCCCAGCAAUCCCCCUUACCCCUAUCGUACACAGUACACCUAUUACAAAAUGUUAUUUUACCUGCCAUGAGGAGAAAUUGAAAGUUUCUAUUGUCUUCAUUUUGGUAUUUGACUGUGUGACCCUGCUUGAUGUAUUCCUUCCCGGGGAUAGUCCUUUGGUUCUAGCUGUACCCGUACCCCCUUUGAACCUUGCUGGACUUUGCAUCAAUCCUCCCCAAUGGUCUCCCAACGUUUGUUUUAGAACAGUGGUCACCAACAUUUGAGUCAAGAUCACUUUCGCAGUCAAAAGGCAAGCCAAGAUCUACCACUCAGAUAAUUAUUUUUACAUGAACCUAAUAAAAACAGCUCUGUAGGAAUGAGAUUUGUGCAGUACACUUAAUACAUUAUCUUAGCAUAUUGGCUAUAUGCCUGGCCUGCCAAUAUUAUUUUUCUCAGACCUUAUUAUAUUUCAAAACUCGAGCUUUGAUAACAAACUAGAUCAGUUGGUGUAGCACUUGUGAGGCACAGCUGAGCAUGAAUUGAAACAAUUCGCUUUUUUAUUUUACUGGACUGAUGGUACCUGCUUCUGAUGGGCAUGGUGAUUUUAAGACAACUGGGAACUCUGAAAAAACGAGGUCAAACCAAGAAGUCAGCGAACUUCACAUCGGAAAGUCGGAGUUCUAGAGAGAUGCUAGCGUUUACGAGUUGGAUGACCAUUCAAAACUAUUUUCCAUAGUCGGAUCUCGCUUUUUCCGAGUUCCCAGUUGUCUUGAACGAUUGAAAGACAAUGAAUCCCGAGUUCCCAGUUAUUUGGGGAAAAAACAGUCUCAGUGGACAGAUGGAGUGAGCAGCAGACGGUCCUUGCUCUCCUUCCUUUCCUCCAGUGCGACUGACUAGAGAGAGGGGACACAGUCUUCCACCUGAUGGCAAAACUCGAGUCGCACCACACCUGCCUCGGCACAAAUUCAUGUUGUUCCUAUGACCAGCGAAAGUGAAAUACUCCUCGAUAUUAAAAUACACACGACGAGCUGCUAAUAAUAAUAAAAACGCAGGGCUAUCUAUACACUUUGCUACUCGUUCAUUUUCCGGGGUCGUGGAAGAUGUAGGUAGGCACCGUGAUUUGAGCUAUCCGAUUGGCCAGCCCCAAAAGCGCACUCGAUUUAGCCACAUAACUCCCGGUCCGCUGGGUAGGCGGAGUUGAACUUUUCAGACAAAUGAAAUGGUUAAAAAUGGGAAACUUUGCCUACCCGGUGCCCAAGGCUUCUGAAUCAAGUUGAACGUACUGUCAAUAGCGCAACACGGAAAAAAGGAGCGCAAGCUUAUGCAGUUAUCGUUGGCUUUUCUACAGAAAUGUUUGGUGAUAGACUAGGAAUGCCUUGAAGAUCAACAUGUCAAUCAACAUUAAAUAAAGGUUAAAUUUAUAAAAUAUAUAAAAAUCGCGAUCCACUGGUUGGUGACCACUGUUAUAGAAGAAGAAGAAGAAGAAGGUGAAAAUAAAUAUCAUCCUUGUAAAAUGUGUAAAACCUUUUUUCGGUUUUUCUUGAUUUUUUCUUUGGACUGUUUUUCUUAGUUUACUUUAGAUGGUCACUACAACACUUUCUGUAAAUUGACCAAUAAAGACUUGUUUUAGAAUCUA
Molecule: long non-coding RNA, 5280 nt
Organism: Salvelinus fontinalis (brook trout)
Lineage: Eukaryota; Metazoa; Chordata; Actinopteri; Salmoniformes; Salmonidae
Exons: 2
Source: RefSeq, a predicted model, not a curated record